Molecule: ribosomal RNA, 253 nt
Filed under: uncultured bacterium
Lineage: Bacteria
Description: partial 16S ribosomal RNA
Rfam family: Bacterial small subunit ribosomal RNA
Source: RNAcentral
UACGAAGGGGGCUAGCGUUGCUCGGAAUCACUGGGCGUAAAGCGCACGUAGGCGGACUCUUAAGUCGGUGGUGAAAUCCUGGAGCUCAACUCCAGAACUGCCUUCGAUACUGAGAGUCUCGAGUCCGAGAGAGGUGAGCGGAACUGCGAGUGUAGAGGUGAAAUUCGUAGAUAUUCGCAAGAACACCAGUGGCGAAGGCGGCUCACUGGCUCGGUACUGACGCUGAGGUGCGAAAGCGUGGGGAGCAAACAGG